Molecule: ribosomal RNA, 430 nt
Filed under: uncultured fungus
Lineage: Eukaryota; Fungi
Description: eukaryotic LSU rRNA
Rfam family: Eukaryotic large subunit ribosomal RNA
Source: RNAcentral
GACCUCGGAUCAGGUAGGGAUACCCGCUGAACUUAAGCAUAUCAAUAAGCGGAGGAAAAGAAACCAACAGGGAUUGCCUCAGUAACGGCGAGUGAAGCGGCGACAGCUCAAAUUUGAAAUCUGGCCUUCGGGUCCGAGUUGUAAUUUGCAGAGGAUGCUUCGAGCAUGGUCUAGUCUAAGUUCCUUGGAAUAGGACGUCAUAGAGGGUGAGAAUCCCGUAUGCGACUGGGUGCCUAAGCUCAUGUGAAGCUCCUUCGACGAGUCGAGUUGUUUGGGAAUGCAGCUCAAAAUGGGUGGUAAAUUUCAUCUAAAGCUAAAUAUUGGCCAGAGACCGAUAGCGCACAAGUAGAGUGAUCGAAAGAUGAAAAGCACUUUGGAAAGAGAGUUAAAUAGCACGUGAAAUUGUUGAAAGGGAAGCGCUUGCAAUCAG